This 438-nucleotide ribosomal RNA is filed under the name Capnocytophaga granulosa. RNAcentral describes it as "bacterial SSU rRNA". It matches the Rfam family "Bacterial small subunit ribosomal RNA", at positions 28 to 472 of the family's 1533-position model. The record is from RNAcentral. Lineage: Bacteria; Pseudomonadati; Bacteroidota; Flavobacteriia; Flavobacteriales; Flavobacteriaceae.
GAUGAACGCUAGCGGCAGGCCUAACACAUGCAAGUCGAGGGAGAAGCCCUUCGGGGCAGAAACCGGCGCACGGGUGCGUAACGCGUAUGCAACCUACCUUUCACAGGGGGAUAGCCCGAAGAAAUUUGGAUUAAUACCCCAUAAUAUUAUUGGAUGGCAUCAUUUGAUAAUUAAAAUUACGAUGGUGAAAGAUGGGCAUGCGUCCUAUUAGCUAGUUGGAGUGGUAACGGCACCCCAAGGCUACGAUAGGUAGGGGUCCUGAGAGGGAGAUCCCCCACACUGGUACUGAGACAGGGACCAGACUCCUACGGGAGGCAGCAGUGAGGAAUAUUGGUCAAUGGUCGGAAGACUGAACCAGCCAUGCCGCGUGCAGGAAGAAUGCCUUAUGGGUUGUAAACUGCUUUUAUAUGGGAAGAAUAAGGAGUACGUGUACUUUGA